UCCGUCGGGGGCCUGGCACACA
Molecule: microRNA, 22 nt
Filed under: Sus scrofa (pig)
Lineage: Eukaryota; Metazoa; Chordata; Mammalia; Artiodactyla; Suidae
Description: ssc-mir23
Source: RNAcentral